RNAcentral lists this ribosomal RNA (502 nucleotides) under Bacillus licheniformis. RNAcentral describes it as "bacterial SSU rRNA". It matches the Rfam family "Bacterial small subunit ribosomal RNA", at positions 467 to 968 of the family's 1533-position model. The record is from RNAcentral. Lineage: Bacteria; Bacillati; Bacillota; Bacilli; Caryophanales; Bacillaceae.
CCUUGACGGUACCUAACCAGAAAGCCCCGGCUCACUACGUGCCAGCAGCCGCGGUAAUACGUAGGUGGCAAGCGUUGUCCGGAAUAUUGGGCGUAAAGCGCGCGCAGGCGGUUUCUUAAGUCUGAUGUGAAAGCCCCCGGCUCAACCGGGGAGGGUCAUUGGAAACUGGGGAACUUGAGUGCAGAAGAGGAGAGUGGAAUUCCACGUGUAGCGGUGAAAUGCGUAGAGAUGUGGAGGAACACCAGUGGCGAAGGCGACUCUCUGGUCUGUAACUGACGCUGAGGCGCGAAAGCGUGGGGAGCGAACAGGAUUAGAUACCCUGGUAGUCCACGCCGUAAACGAUGAGUGCUAAGUGUUAGAGGGUUUCCGCCCUUUAGUGCUGCAGCAAACGCAUUAAGCACUCCGCCUGGGGAGUACGGUCGCAAGACUGAAACUCAAAGGAAUUGACGGGGGCCCGCACAAGCGGUGGAGCAUGUGGUUUAAUUCGAAGCAACGCGAAGAA